GCUGGGCAUGGUGGCGCGUGCCUGUAAUCCCAGCUACUCGGGAGGCUGAGGCAGGAGAAUUGCUUGAACCCAGGAGGUGGAGGUUGCAGUGAGCUGAGAUCGCGCUGCUCCACAGCCUGGGUGACAGAGCAAGACUCCGUCUCAG
Unclassified non-coding RNA from Papio anubis (olive baboon), 145 nucleotides. It matches the Rfam family "Metazoan signal recognition particle RNA". Rfam says of the family: The signal recognition particle (SRP) is a universally conserved ribonucleoprotein. NCBI's taxonomy places the organism in Eukaryota, Metazoa, Chordata, Mammalia, Primates, Cercopithecidae. The record is from Ensembl.